UUGUACCAUAUAAUAGUGAAAAUUUAUUUUCCGAACGUAUUAGAUUAUCAUUCAAACUUUUGGAGGAAUAUGGAAAGUUUAGCGUCAUUGCAUGCCUAUGGAAGAAAACAGGCGUAUUAUGAUUUAUUAUUCCUGCUGAUGCUAGCAAGAUUGGAGAUCUUCUUAGUUAGAAAGGAUGACACACAAUUAAUUUCUGGAACAAGAGUGAAACUGUUUCUGGAAAUUGGUUGCACAUAUGAGCACGAUCAGUACAGAGAUGUGUGAAGAUGAAUUAUAAAGGGGAAGGAGCAAAUUAUACGGAAAAGUGGAACGAGCAAAUUGUUAUUUCCG
RNAcentral lists this long non-coding RNA (330 nucleotides) under Nicotiana benthamiana. Its description in RNAcentral is "long non-coding RNA (NBEN_LNC001978)". Lineage: Eukaryota; Viridiplantae; Streptophyta; Magnoliopsida; Solanales; Solanaceae. The record is from RNAcentral.